CCAUCAUUCAGUUGGGCACUCUAAGGGGACGUGCCGGUGAUAAGCCGAGAGGAAGUGGGGAUGACGUCAAGUCCUCAUGGCCUUACGGGCUGGGCUACACACGUGCUACAAUGGUGGUGACAGUGGGCAGCGAGACCGCGAGGUCGAGCUAAUCUCCAAAAGCCAUCUCAGUUCGGAUUGCACUCUGCAACUCGAGUGCAUGAAGUUGGAAUCGCUAGUAAUCGCGGAUCAGCAUGCCGCGGUGAAUACGUUCCCGGGCCUU
This 262-nucleotide ribosomal RNA is filed under the name uncultured Mesorhizobium sp. RNAcentral describes it as "partial 16S ribosomal RNA". It matches the Rfam family "Bacterial small subunit ribosomal RNA", at positions 1118 to 1382 of the family's 1533-position model. The record is from RNAcentral. Lineage: Bacteria; Pseudomonadati; Pseudomonadota; Alphaproteobacteria; Hyphomicrobiales; Phyllobacteriaceae.